RNAcentral lists this ribosomal RNA (520 nucleotides) under uncultured Glomus. Its description in RNAcentral is "SSU rRNA". It matches the Rfam family "Eukaryotic small subunit ribosomal RNA", at positions 569 to 1092 of the family's 1831-position model. The record is from RNAcentral. Lineage: Eukaryota; Fungi; Glomeromycota; Glomeromycetes; Glomerales; Glomeraceae.
AGCAGCCGCGGUAAUUCCAGCUCCAAUAGCGUAUAUUAAAGUUGUUGCAGUUAAAAAGCUCGUAGUUGAAUUUCGGGAUCAGAGUGUCGGUCGUGCCUCGGUACGCACUGGUAUUAUUGGUUCCUACCUUCUGAAGAACCGCGAUGUCAUUAAUUUGGUGUCGUGGGGAAUCAGGACUGUUACUUUGAAAAAAUUAGAGUGUUUAAAGCAGGCUUACGCUUGAAUACAUUAGCAUGGAAUAAUGAAAUAGGACGUUUGAUUCUAUUUUGUUGGUUUCUAGGAUUGACGUAAUGAUUAAUAGGGAUAGUUGGGGGCAUUAGUAUUCAAUUGUCAGAGGUGAAAUUCUUGGAUUUAUUGAAGACUAACUACUGCGAAAGCAUUUGCCAAGGAUGUUUUCAUUAAUCAAGAACGAAAGUUAGGGGAUCGAAGACGAUCAGAUACCGUCGUAGUCUUAACCAUAAACUAUGCCGACUAGGGAUCGGAUGAUGUUAAUUUUUAAUGACUCAUUCGGCGCCUUAAC